RNAcentral lists this ribosomal RNA (645 nucleotides) under Triticum aestivum (bread wheat). RNAcentral describes it as "partial small subunit ribosomal RNA". Lineage: Eukaryota; Viridiplantae; Streptophyta; Magnoliopsida; Poales; Poaceae. The record is from RNAcentral.
AUGGCGCCGGCUCCCGCUCGAGCUAUUGCAGUGGUGCUGCUCACGUUCGUCUGCUGUGGGUGCGCCAUGGCCGCGGACCAAGCACCGGUCAAAUGGCUGAGGGCGCACGCGACCUUCUACGGCGGCGCCGAUGCCUCUGACGCUAUGGGUGGAGCAUGCGGGUACGGUAAUCUGUACUCGGCGGGGUACGGUACGCGGACGGCGGCGCUGAGCACGGUGCUGUUCAACGACGGUGCGGCAUGUGAACAGUGCUACAAGAUCACAUGCGACCGCAAGCUGGCAGAUCCGAUGUGGUGCAGACCAGGCGUCUCGGUGACGGUGACCGUCACGAACUUCUGCCCGCCUAACAACGCGCUUCCGAGCGACAACGGCGGCUGGUGCAACCCGCCGAGGCCACACUUUGACAUGGCGCAACCGGCCUGGGAGAAGAUCGGCGUUUACAAGGGCGGCAUCAUCCCCGUCAUGUACCAGAGGGUCCCAUGCGUGAAGAAGGGUGGGGUGCGGCUGAAAAUCGAUGGUCAUGAUUACUUCAAUCUAGUUACUGUGAUGAACGUCGCAGCUGCCGGCUCAAUUAAAUCGAUGGAUGUCAAGAGCUCUGAUUCAAAUGAUUGGAUGCCAAUGUCCCGUAACUGGGGUGCCAACUGA